GACCGGGUGGAGGGAACGUGGGGGAAGUGAAACAUCUCAGUACCCACAGGAAGAGAAAACAAAAAGUGAUUCCGUUAGUAGUGGCGAGCGAACGCGGAUGGGGGCUAAAACCGUAUGUGUGUGAUACCCGGCAGGGGGUUGCAUGUGCGGUGUUGUGGGGCCCCCUCCUUGUCAUGUCUGCCGGCAUGGCGCAGUGAGGUGCGGGGGCAUAUAGACGAACAGUGUGGAUGCUGGACCUAGAGGGUGAGAGUCCCG
This 255-nucleotide ribosomal RNA is filed under the name Micrococcus luteus. RNAcentral describes it as "partial 23S ribosomal RNA". It matches the Rfam family "Bacterial large subunit ribosomal RNA", at positions 168 to 375 of the family's 2925-position model. Lineage: Bacteria; Bacillati; Actinomycetota; Actinomycetes; Micrococcales; Micrococcaceae. The record is from RNAcentral.